Molecule: ribosomal RNA, 409 nt
Filed under: Priestia megaterium
Lineage: Bacteria; Bacillati; Bacillota; Bacilli; Caryophanales; Bacillaceae
Description: bacterial SSU rRNA
Rfam family: Bacterial small subunit ribosomal RNA
Source: RNAcentral
UCCCCUUCGGGGGACAGAGUGACAGGUGCNUGCAUGGUUGUCGUCAGCUCGUGUCGUGAGAUGUUGGGUUAAGUCCCGCAACGAGCGCAACCCUUGAUCUUAGUUGCCAGCAUUUAGUUGGGCACUCUAAGGUGACUGCCGGUGACAAACCGGAGGAAGGUGGGGAUGACGUCAAAUCAUCAUGCCCCUUAUGACCUGGGCUACACACGUGCUACAAUGGAUGGUACAAAGGGCUGCAAGACCGCGAGGUCAAGCCAAUCCCAUAAAACCAUUCUCAGUUCGGAUUGUAGGCUGCAACUCGCCUACAUGAAGCUGGAAUCGCUAGUAAUCGCGGAUCAGCAUGCCGCGGUGAAUACGUUCCCGGGCCUUGUACACACCGCCCGUCACACCACGAGAGUUUGUAACACCC